ACUCCUGCGGGAGGCAGCAGUGGGGAAUAUUGCACAAUGGGCGCAAGCCUGAUGCAGCCAUGCCGCGUGUAUGAAGAAGGCCUUCGGGUUGUAAAGUACUUUCAGCGGGGAGGAAGGCGAUAAGGUUAAUAACCUUGUCGAUUGACGUUACCCGCAGAAGAAGCACCGGCUAACUCCGUGCCAGCAGCCGCGGUAAUACGGAGGGUGCAAGCGUUAAUCGGAAUUACUGGGCGUAAAGCGCACGCAGGCGGUCUGUCAAGUCGGAUGUGAAAUCCCCGGGCUCAACCUGGGAACUGCAUUCGAAACUGGCAGGCUAGAGUCUUGUAGAGGGGGGUAGAAUUCCAGGUGUAGCGGUGAAAUGCGUAGAGAUCUGGAGGAAUACCGGUGGCGAAGGCGGCCCCCUGGACAAAGACUGACGCUCAGGUGCGAAAGCGUGGGGAGCAAACAGGAUUAGAUACCCUAGUAGUCCC
RNAcentral lists this ribosomal RNA (470 nucleotides) under uncultured organism. Its description in RNAcentral is "partial 16S ribosomal RNA". It matches the Rfam family "Bacterial small subunit ribosomal RNA", at positions 335 to 797 of the family's 1533-position model. The record is from RNAcentral.